Molecule: transfer RNA, 58 nt
Filed under: Salmo salar (Atlantic salmon)
Lineage: Eukaryota; Metazoa; Chordata; Actinopteri; Salmoniformes; Salmonidae
Rfam family: tRNA
About the family: Transfer RNA (tRNA) molecules are approximately 80 nucleotides in length.
Source: Rfam by way of RNAcentral
UAGCUCAGUUGGUAGAGUGUGGUGCUUGCAAUAUUAGGGUCGUGGGUUCAAUUCCCAU